RNAcentral lists this ribosomal RNA (202 nucleotides) under uncultured bacterium. Its description in RNAcentral is "partial 16S ribosomal RNA". It matches the Rfam family "Bacterial small subunit ribosomal RNA", at positions 567 to 775 of the family's 1533-position model. The record is from RNAcentral.
UACGCAGGCGGCUAUGCAAGACAGGUGUGAAAUCCCCGGGCUUAACCUGGGAACUGCAUUUGUGACUGCAUAGCUAGAGUUUGUCAGAGGGGGUGGAAUUCCACGUGUAGCAGUGAAAUGCGUAGAGAUGUGGAGGAACACCGAUGGCGAAGGCAGCCCCCUGGGACCUGACUGACGCUAUGAAGACGUGGGAGGCAAACAA